This is a long non-coding RNA of Ipomoea triloba (trilobed morning glory), 385 nucleotides long. RefSeq lists it as uncharacterized. Lineage: Eukaryota; Viridiplantae; Streptophyta; Magnoliopsida; Solanales; Convolvulaceae. The record is from RefSeq and is a predicted model, not a curated record. The transcript has 2 exons.
CAAUAUAAUGGCUUUUAAUUUUUCUCUAAGGUCUAUUCUUGUAUCUUUGUUUAUGGUUGUUAUUUUAAUCUCAGCAAUGAUGAUGGUUCCAUCUGAUGCAGCUCGCUUUCGCGAGAAAAAAGGGUUUAACCAUACCACAAUAAUGUACUGCCCAACUUGUGUUGGGUGUUGCGAACCUCCACCUGCUGGCUUUUGUUGUCAAAAAUGUGGCUGCUAGGCUCUUCCCAAUUUCAAGCUCGCUGGAGACUUUUAACACACACUGUAUUUUGGAGCUUUUGUUCUGCUUUUUAUAUUUCCCAUAAGAGUGAUUGAUGUAUGGUAGACUGAGACUCUAGUGAAUUCAUUAAAAAUGCUAAUAAAAUGAAACGUGGGUCUGUUUCAAUGA